This 372-nucleotide ribosomal RNA is filed under the name uncultured organism. RNAcentral describes it as "bacterial SSU rRNA". It matches the Rfam family "Bacterial small subunit ribosomal RNA", at positions 526 to 896 of the family's 1533-position model. The record is from RNAcentral.
CAGAGACUGCAAGCGUUACUCGGAUUCACUGGGCGUAAAGGGAGCGCAGGCGGAAUCGUGUGUCGGAUGUGAAACCCGGGGGCUCAACUCCCGGACUGCGUCUGAAACUGCGAUUCUAGGGACUCGGAGGGGCUAGUGGAAUUCUUGGUGGAGCAGUGAAAUGCGUAGAUAUCAAGAGGAACACCAACGGCGAAGGCAGCUAGCUGGACGAGAUCCGACGCUCAGGCUCGAAAGUAUGGGGAGCAAAGAGGAUUAGAUACCCUUGUAGUCCAUACUGUAAACGAUGUCGACUAGGUCUUGGGGCAUUCGAACGCCCCAGGGCUCAAGCUAACGCAAUAAGUCGACCGCCUGAGGACUACGGUCGCAAGACUA